UAUUGCGAGAUUUUUGAGCCUCAUCCCCCACGUCCCUUUAACCUUUUGAACACUGGUACAAAAGCACGAACCAUUCUUUCUAGUCAGUUCAUAUCUCUUUCUUGGUUCAUUCAUUCGCCUUGUCAUCUCAAACAACCUUCUGGCCACUGCUGUGAAGAAUCGGCGAGACACUUUUCUGAUCCGGAACCCUCCUCGAUUUCUUAUGGUAACCAGGGUUGAAUCGGGGUUGUGUGAAGAGAGCGACUAGGAGUUGGAACUUAUGAGUUGGAAACUUGGAGACUUUAAUUUUUUAUUUUUUGUGAACUCUUUGACUUUUGAGUUAGGUGUACCUAUCUCUUUCCGGAUGGUAUUAGAACUUUGUAAGUUAGACGAUUUAUUCCUUUUCGUACUUUGGUAAUUCAAGUGUUUCUUUUGGACUUAAGAUGUUCUGUUGGCAUUUGUCGUGACCUCCUGUUCCGUAUUGGGGCGGGGGUGUUACAUUAAGGUUAUCACCAUGCACAAGCUCAUCUUCAUUAUCAUUAAUAUUUGGCUCAUUUUUUACUUUUCCCAUUCUAAUAAAAGUUUGAGCCAAAAGUGAUUUAAUAGGAAGAAUUUGACCUUUUUUAAGAAUUCAUCGGGUAGCUCAUGUUGUAAAAUAGCCAUGAUUAGUCUAGGGUACAUCAAAAGUUUCUUUGUAGAUGUGACAUUUGAGCAAGCUCCUUGAAUUUUUUAUUAGAAAGUUUAAAGGCAGACUUUGUUAAAAUAGACUGGUUUAAUACAUUUGAAGAUAUCUUAACAGUCUGUAAAGAUCCAACAGUUGUUGAUAUGCACCAAAUGCAACAUAUAAAUUAUAUCAAAAAAGGUAUAAAAUCAACCCUUUUUAGUACUAAUGUUGGAAAAAGUGUGUUUCUUUGUAUACUUUUGAUUUUCAGGAUUAAAAGAGCUUAAAUAUACAAAAGGAACAAAUUAACGGCAAAAACCAGCAUAAAUACAAAAGAAGGGAAGUUGAUGCAUCAUACCGACCCUCCGAGCUUCACCCCAAGACCAAAAACAACGAAUUAGAAGAAAAGCACGGGGCCGUGCCACCAAGGCAUGGGGUCGUGCCCCACUCAAGAUUACAGAAAGAAAAAGACAAAUAGAAGCAGACAAGAGACAUGGGGCCGUGUCCAAUGGACACGCGUCGUGGUCAACUCCCAGAUUUGUAGAAUCUUGGAUAGUAUAGCAAGUACAUGGGCCAUGGGGCCAUUCCGUUGACACACGGAGCUGUGUAAGCAUAUGGACUGACACAGCUCAUUAAAUGAAGAUAAAGAAGAAGGAGGUUCAGGGCAGUGCCCUCCGGUCACGCAGCCAUGUAAACCGUCUGUUUCCAGCUAUAAAUAGGGGUGUUUGGUUCAAUUGCAAUCCAUCCCUUGGAAAACCACUUCUCUUACACCCGCUACCACACCACUCCACCACCAUCAUCCACCACAUUUAUCCAUCUCCAUCUUUAGAGUAUGUAGUAGUCUCGGGAUCCAAGAUUGAUCAUAAGAGGUUUUUUUCAAACAAAGGCCAUGAUUGGCUAAUCUCUUACAUCACUUGGUCAAGACAAGUCAUUUAUGUAUCACUUUUGAUUUCCAAUCUUUGGUUAACUUUUUAAUUGGGUUUAUAUUAAUGACUUUAAUGACUA
Molecule: long non-coding RNA, 1645 nt
Organism: Helianthus annuus (common sunflower)
Lineage: Eukaryota; Viridiplantae; Streptophyta; Magnoliopsida; Asterales; Asteraceae
Exons: 2
Source: RefSeq, a predicted model, not a curated record